AUUGAACGCUAGCGGCAGGCCUUACACAUGCAAGUCGAACGAGUGGCGGACGGGUGAGUAAUGUCUGGGAAAAUGCCUGAUAGCGGGGGAUAACUACUGGAAACGGUAGCUAAUACCGCAUACCAUCAGAUGUGCCCCGAUGGGAUUCGCUAGUUGGUGGGGUAACGGCUCACCAAGGCGACGAUCCCUAGCUGGUCUGAGAGGAUGACCAGCCACACUGGGACUGAGACACGGCCCAGAAUCCUACGGGAGGCAGCAGUGGGGAAUAUUGCACAAUGGGCGCAAGCCUGAUGCAGCCAUGCCGCGUGUAUGAAGAAGGCCUUCGGGUUGUAAAGUACUUUCAGCGGGGAGGCGUUACCCGCAGAAGAAGCACCGGCUAACUCCGUGCCAGCAGCCGCGGUAAUUC
RNAcentral lists this ribosomal RNA (406 nucleotides) under uncultured bacterium. Its description in RNAcentral is "partial 16S ribosomal RNA". It matches the Rfam family "Bacterial small subunit ribosomal RNA", at positions 30 to 526 of the family's 1533-position model. The record is from RNAcentral.